CCCAAGCAUCAAGAGAGGGGCCCUCGCCCCCACCAACCUGCCCAACCCGGCAAGGUGGUCGUCCUUCGGGAGAUGUGGCCGAUCCGGCAACAAACGGGUGCAG
This 103-nucleotide non-coding RNA is filed under the name unclassified sequences. RNAcentral's name for it is "SAM-I-IV sequence". It matches the Rfam family "SAM-I/IV (S-adenosyl methionine) riboswitch aptamer". Rfam says of the family: It is found upstream of a number of genes which code for proteins involved in methionine or cysteine biosynthesis. It has been found mostly in the order Actinomycetales. The record is from Rfam by way of RNAcentral.